RNAcentral lists this long non-coding RNA (4535 nucleotides) under Sus scrofa (pig). RNAcentral describes it as "lncRNA (ENSSSCG00000053289.1, ENSSSCG00160003579.1, ENSSSCG00175031810.1, ENSSSCG00180023574.1)". The record is from RNAcentral. Lineage: Eukaryota; Metazoa; Chordata; Mammalia; Artiodactyla; Suidae.
AUUGCAACAGAACAAAGGAUCGGGGGAAAAAUGUAUACAUGUAAGAAUAACUUGAUCCCCAUGCUGUACAGGGGGGAAAAAAUAAAUAAUUAACAAAAAAUCUUCAAACUGUUUGUAAAGACAAGUCCACAAAAGGGAAGAGAAUAUCUGUAAACUAUAUAUUCUAGAUAUGAAUCCCAUAUCAGAUAUAUGAACUCUCAUAACUCAUAAAUUAAAAAAAUAAUUCAAUUUUAUGGAGUUCCAUUCAUGGCUCAGCAGUUAAUGAAACUGACUAGGAUCCAUGAAAAUGCAGGUUCAAUCCCUGGCUUUGCUCAGUGGGUUAAGGAUCCAGAGUUGCCUUGAGCUGCAGUGUAAGUCACAGCCAUGGCUUGGAUCCCAAGUUGCAAUGGCUGUGGUGUAGGCCGGAAGCUGUGCCUCCGAUUCAACCCCUAGCCUGGGUGUGGCCCUAAAAAGCAAAAAAAAUAAAUAACUCAAUUUUUAAAAUGAGAUCCGGGAGUUCCUGUUGUGGCACAGUGAAAACAAAUUCAACUAGUAUCUGUGAGGAUGGGAGUUCAAUCCCUGGCUUCACUCAGUGGGUCAGGGAUCCGGCACUUCUGUGAGCUGUGGUAUAGUUCGCAGAUAUGGCUCAGAUCCCACGUUGCUGUGGCUGUGGCAUAGGUCGGCAGCUAUAUAGCUCCAGUUCAGCCCUUAGCCUGGGAACUUCCAUAUGCCACAGGUGCAGCCCUAAAAAGAAAGAAAGAAAGAAAGGAAAAAAAUUAGAUUUGAAUAAACAUUUCUUUAAAGAAAAUAUACAAAUGGCCAAAAUUACCUAAGAUGCUCAACAUCCUUACCCAUCAUGAAAAUCUAAAUCAACAAUGAGAUAUCACUUUACAUUCAUUAAUAUUAGUAUCAUUGGCUAACAUCAAAAAAAUAGGAAAAUAAUGUAUAUUGGCAAAAAUGUAGGGUAAUUGGAGACCUUAUAUACAUUGUUAUUCGGAACGUAAAAUGGGACAGCUACUUUGGAAAAUAGUCUGGCAGUUUCUUAAAAAAAAUGUAUGACCCAGCAAUUCUACUCCUACAUAUAUAUCCGGGAGAAUUAAAAAUGUAUAUCAGGAGUUCCCAUCGUGGCACAGCAGAAACAAAUGUGACUAGGAACCAUAAGGUUGCGGGUUCGAUCCCCUGGCCUCGCUCAAUGGGUUAAUGAUCCGACAUUGCCGUGAGCUGUGGUGUAGGUCACAGACGCAGCUCGGAUCCCGCGUUGCUGUGGUUCUGGCAUAGGCCAAGAAGCAACAGCUCCGAUUAGACCCCUAGCCUGGGAACCUCCAUGUGCCGCAGGUGCAGCCCCCAAAAGACAAAAGAUAUAUAUAUAUCUAUCUCCACACAAAACCUUUCACUUGAAAAUUUCUAACAUUAUUCAUAAUAGCCGAAAAGUAGAAACCACCCAAUUGUCUAUCAAGUGAUGAGUGGAUAAGUAAAAUGUGAUAAAUGCAUAUCAUCAGAUAUUAUUUUACAUUUAAUCAUGUGAGGAACCUGAUCAAAAUGGUUUCUUAUGAAGAUUUACUAUAGCAUCAAUGUGGAUAAUCACUUGUGGGGGUGGGAUGGGGAGGUACUGAGAAUGGAAAAACGAAGGACCUUCAGAGAUUGCUUCUAUAUCCCAGAGAUGCAUGAACUAAGGCAGUAGCAGGUGUGAUAGGAAAGAUGGGACAGAUUUCAGAGAUACUGUCUAGAAGUAAUGGAACUCAGCAAGUAAUGGAGGAGGAAAGGAAACAGAAAGGAAGGAAUCAUAGCAAGCUUCUACUUCUAAGGACUCCCCUCAGGCAAUGUUAUCAGAGAGUAAAAGCUCCCAAACUGUCCAAUAUCAAAAGUCAGUAAACUUUGAGAAACCCUCUAAGAGAACAGGCUACAGAACCAGACUCGCUGGAUUCAAAUCCAGCUUCUCAAUUUCCUAUGUUGCCUUGAGCAAGUAAAUUACUUUACAUUUCCAGUAAAGUGAAGAUACUAUGACCCAAUUCAUACAGCUGUGAGGGUUAGAGAGUCAAUACAUCUACACAUACAGACACUUAAGACAUAGUCCAGAUACAUGCAGGUGUUCCCAAUAUUCCAGACACAUGGAGGUUCCCUAAGUCUCAGCUCUUCUCAUUAAAGUCCCUAUCCUAUGAAUUUGCAGGGAGUUUAUCUCUUUACUAUGACAUAAAAUUUGCAUGGCACCCUGCAUUAACUGAUGGUAGCUUAUACCCUGUGAGUGCCUGAUAGGCAGAAAAGAGUCUCAAGCUGUGGCAUGGUCAAUUUGCUGGUUUAUUCACCAGUAACUAGCUAGCAGAUAUUAAUAACUUCAUUGUAAAAAUGGACACAUUCAGACUUUUGAUUUGAAGGCUAAAGGCUCAGUACACCAACUCCAUUUCCUUUGACUAGUUGCCCUCUUCCACAUGUGUAUUGACUGUAAUAAAUUAUUACCUUUUGCAGGAACUGAAUAUUCAGCAUCUGGAAGGAUUAAGCAGAACACUAGGGAGUCAAAAGAUUAAUUAAGUGAAAAUUAAGAAGGAAAUAGAGAAAUAUGUUCUUAAUCCCUAAAAAAGGAGUUUUAGUAAGCUCUCAUACUUCCCCCUGUUAGGCCAGUUAUUAAAUGGAAUUCUGUCCUUUAGCUGUCAGUGGCUUUCCAGAGUACAAUCUUUCCCCACAGAGGAAUCUUUUAAAAAUUAUAAAUAAAAUCUCCCAGUUUCUUUCCCCACAGAUAAGAACAUUAGAACACUGAUAUUUUAAUCUGUUCCUAUACAAGAAUGAGUUGUGUCAACACAGUGCUCCCAGCUACAGCACUGAAAACAAGUUUAAUUAAAGACAAAAGAAACAGCAUGUGGAGCCUCAGCCAUUGAGAUACGAUGAAGAGUGUCAUCUUCAGAUUCAGUUCACUACGAACAAAUCUUUUUGUCAGUCUCAGGAGAAAAACAAAAAAAAGGUAGCAAAGUAAAUGUGUGAUGCUUUAAGGGAAUAAAAUGGUGGUAUCGAACAUGAAUAUUCAGACUAAGGACUAAAAAAAAUAGUAUUUAUGUGGUACAUACUUCCAGAGUAUGAACCCUGCUCCUAAUAUCAUAAAACGUCUUUGGAUAUAAAUAGAUGCCUAUUAACCACAUAUAUGUUGUACAUGAUAGAGCUGAAGCACAAAAAGGGAAAGAAGCUUAGCCAAGAUCACAAGGUUUAGCAAAGAUAAAUGAUGCUUUUACUGCGUUUAUUCUAGAAUAUUGGUUAUAUUCCUUCCUCAAAUUCUAAUUUGAAGAAAAAAGUACCAUUAUCAUGUACUAUCUUCCAAAAUUUUUUUAUUCUUUUAAUGAUUUUUUUUUCUCUUAUAGUUGGUUUAGUGUUCUGUCCAUUUUCUACUGUACAGCAAGGUGACCCAGUCCCACAUAUAUGUAUACAUUUUUUUCUAUCUUCCAAAAAUAAGCAUAGCUCUAACUAUAUUCUAACAAUAGUUUGCUUGCCAUCUCCUGCUCUUCUGUUCAGGGCCCAAUCACCAAAGAGGCAGUACAGCACAGGGAAAAGAAAACAGGGCAGAUGUGCCCAGGUUCCAACCUCAGCUCUACCACUUCCAGCUCAGCAACUUUGGGGCAAGUUACCUGUUUGAGAUUCUUUUUCCUAAUCUAUAAAAUAGGAAUGAUAGCAACUACUCAGUAGUGUUAGGCUAAGGCUUCAAUGAGAUAAUACAGGUAAAGUACCCAGUUCAUUUCUUGGCAUAUACAGUUGAUGCUCCAUAAAUAAUCUAUGAACUUUUGAUUUCAAGAACACUGACCACUUGUUGAUUGUACGUUAUCAUACUCUCCAGAUUAUCUAUUUCUUAUGACUAAAAGUCUCUCUUCUUACCCAUAACAUAGCCUUAUUCACCUUACCGGGAAUGUUUAGUAAUAAGUGUAAGUACCUACUGGUCUGCAUAUAUAUAUAAAACUUGGGUUUUUGCAGCACAGGAUUACAGAAUGGUUAUCAGGUAUGGGUUCUAGUGUCAACACUGCCCAUUGUAACUGAUUACAUUUUAAUCCUGGCAUUGAUUCUUAAUAGCACACAACUGUUGGCAAGUUACUUAAUUUACCUGUGUCUCAAAGGUCCUGAUUUGUAAAAUGGAGAUCUAAAAAUAUUUUCUAUUUAAAGAGAUGCUGUGAAGAAUAUUUAAAGAUACAUAAAGCUAUUAAAAUAAUGCCUGGUUCAAGUAUGAACUUGAAAAACAUUUGCUAUUACCUGAUAAUUGUAUAUGCAUAAUGAACAUUAUAUUUAUUCUAAAAGGUAUUAAAGAUUUCUCAGAAUUUAUAUGAUAUAAAGUUGCAGGGGGGGAUAAAUAUCAUUAAAGCAUUAGGAACAUGUAUAAACCUGUGUCCUCAUGGAUAGUAGUCAGAUUCCUUUCUGCUGAGCCAUGACGGGAACUCCAAGAUUCUCAUAUUAAAUUAAAAGAAUUUGUGCUUGGAGUUCCCGUCAUGGAGCAGUGGAAACGAAUCCAACUAGGAACCAUGACGUUGCGGGUUCAAUCCCUGGCCUCGCUCAGUGGGCUGAGGAUCCAGCGUUGCCAUGAGCUGUGG